CAGUAGCCACGGUAAUACGUAGGUCCCGAGCGUUGUCCGGAUUUAUUGGGCGUAAAGCGAGCGCAGGCGGUUAGUAAGUCUGAAGUUAAAGGCAUUGGCUCAACCAAUGUAUGCUUUGGAAACUGUUAGACUUGAGUGCAGAAGGGGAGAGUGGAAUUCCAUGUGUAGCGGUGAAAUGCGUAGAUAUAUGGAGGAACACCGGUGGCGAAAGCGGCUCUCUGGUCUGUCACUGACGCUGAGGCUCGAAAGCGCGGGUAGCGAACAGGAUUAGAUACCCCUGUAGUCCCUGUCUCUUAUACAC
This 301-nucleotide ribosomal RNA is filed under the name uncultured bacterium. RNAcentral's name for it is "partial 16S ribosomal RNA". It matches the Rfam family "Bacterial small subunit ribosomal RNA", at positions 509 to 809 of the family's 1533-position model. The record is from RNAcentral.